AGGGAAUCUUCCGCAAUGGACGAAAGUCUGACGGAGCAACGCCGCGUGAGUGAAGAAGGCCUUCGGGUCGUAAAGCUCUGUUGUUAGGGAAGAAUAAGUACGAGAGUAAAUGCUCGUACCUUGACGGUACCUAACCAGAAAGCCACGGCUAACUACGUGCCAGCAGCCGCGGUAAUACGUAGGUGGCAAGCGUUGUCCGGAAUUAUUGGGCGUAAAGCGCGCGCAGGUGGUUUCUUAAGUCUGAUGUGAAAGCCCACGGCUCAACCGUGGAGGGUCAUUGGAAACUGGGAAACUUGAGUGCAGAAGAGGAAAGUGGAAUUCCAUGUGUAGCGGUGAAAUGCGUAGAGAUAUGGAGGAACACCAGUGGCGAAGGCGACUUUCUGGUCUGUAACUGACACUGAGGCGCGAAAGCGUGGGGAGCAAACAGGAUUAGAUACCCUGGUAGUCCACGCCGUAAACGAUGAGUGCUAAGUGUUAGAGGGUUUCCGCCCUUUAGUGCUGAAGCUAACGCAUUAAGCACUCCGCCUGGGGAGUACGGCCGCAAGGCUGAAACUCAAAGGAAUUGACGG
This 569-nucleotide ribosomal RNA is filed under the name uncultured bacterium. RNAcentral describes it as "bacterial SSU rRNA". It matches the Rfam family "Bacterial small subunit ribosomal RNA", at positions 356 to 916 of the family's 1533-position model. The record is from RNAcentral.